Molecule: ribosomal RNA, 497 nt
Filed under: gamma proteobacterium OCS181
Lineage: Bacteria; Pseudomonadati; Pseudomonadota; Gammaproteobacteria
Description: bacterial SSU rRNA
Rfam family: Bacterial small subunit ribosomal RNA
Source: RNAcentral
AGAGUUUGAUCAUGGCUCAGAUUGAACGCUGGCGGCAGGCCUAACACAUGCAAGUCGAGCGGAUGAGAAGAGCUUGCUCUUCGAUUCAGCGGCGGACGGGUGAGUAAUGCCUAGGAAUCUGCCUGGUAGUGGGGGACAACGUUUCGAAAGGAACGCUAAUACCGCAUACGUCCUACGGGAGAAAGCAGGGGACCUUCGGGCCUUGCGCUAUCAGAUGAGCCUAGGUCGGAUUAGCUAGUUGGUGAGGUAAUGGCUCACCAAGGCGACGAUCCGUAACUGGUCUGAGAGGAUGAUCAGUCACACUGGAACUGAGACACGGUCCAGACUCCUACGGGAGGCAGCAGUGGGGAAUAUUGGACAAUGGGCGAAAGCCUGAUCCAGCCAUGCCGCGUGUGUGAAGAAGGUCUUCGGAUUGUAAAGCACUUUAAGUUGGGAGGAAGGGCAUUAACCUAAUACGUUAGUGUUUUGACGUUACCGACAGAAUAAGCACCGGCUAA